This 1551-nucleotide ribosomal RNA is filed under the name Triticum aestivum (bread wheat). RNAcentral describes it as "partial small subunit ribosomal RNA". Lineage: Eukaryota; Viridiplantae; Streptophyta; Magnoliopsida; Poales; Poaceae. The record is from RNAcentral.
AUGGUCAGCGUCGACGCGAAGCAGGCGGCGCCGGCGGCGGGGGGGAGGGCGCAGAGGCACCUCAACCUGUGCUUCGUCGCCGGCUUCCUCCUCGUGCUCCUCACCUACCUCGUCGUCUCCCAGCAGUUCGCCGUCACCUCCCCCGUCGCUGUCCCCACGACGCCGCCGCACAGGAAGCAUCAGGCCGUCAAGUCCCCCGGCGCCGGCGAAGCAGGAUUUACGCAAGGGGGUCGAGAAGGAGAGGGCAAGGCGGAGGCCAGACCAGCUCACGAGCAGCAGCAGCAAACGGCAGGGCCGCCGAAAGCAGAGGGCCGCGCGCGCGGCGUGGGGAAGACAGACGACGACGGUGCGGCCAAGCCGUUUGACAACGGCAAGGUGGUGUGCAGCGCGAGCCCCUACUCCUACACCUGCGACGUCUUCGGCGACGUCCGGACCAACGGCACGGCCCACACCGUCACCCUGGUGCCGGCGACGUCCCGACCAGAGCGCCGGGAGUGGAGCAUCCAGGCCUACGCCCGCUUCAACAUGACUGGCAUCCCCAACGUCACGGUGACGCAGCUCGACUCGACGUCCGCGCUGUCCCCGGCGCCCGCGUGCACGAUCACGCACCGUGUCCCGGCCAUCGUGCUCGCGCUCGGCGGCCACCUGGGCAACUACUUCCACGACUUCAGCGACGCGCUCGUGCCGCUCUUCGUGGCGUCGCGCCGGUACGGCGGCGAGGUCCAGCUCCUGGCCGGCAACAUCCAGCCCUGGUGGCUCGGCAAGUACGAGGCCGUCGUGCGGCGGCUGACAAAGUACGACGUCCUCGACCUCGACCACGACGAUCAGGUCCGGUGCUUCCGGCACGUCACCGUGGGCCUCAACAUGCACAAGGAGUUCAACAUCGUGCCCGAGCUGGUCCCCGGCGGCGUCCCGCUCUCCAUGCUCAACUUCACCGCCUUCCUCCGCGAGACCUACUCCCUGCCGCGCGCCGCUCCCAUCCGCCUGACUAAUAAGAAGAGCAGCCCGCCGGUGGACGGGAAGAAGAUGAAGAAGCCGCGGCUGAUGCUGCUCGACCGGGGCCACUACCGGAAGCUCGUCAACGUGCCGGAGAUUGUCAAGGCGGCCGAGAAGGCCGGGUUCGAGGUGACCAUCGCGGACCCGCGGUUUAACGUGCGCGUCAAAGAGCUGGCCCUCUCCGUGAACUCGUUCGACGUGCUGCUCGGCGUGCACGGCGCCGGGCUGACCAACUCGGCGUUCCUGCCGCCGGGGGCGGUGGUGAUCCAGGUGGUGCCCUACGGCAAGCUGGAGCCGAUGGCGCAGAGGGAAUUCGGCGACCCCGCGGCCAACAUGGGGCUCCGGUACCUCGAGUACAGCAUCUCCGUGGAGGAGAGCACGCUGCUGGAGACGCUGGGGCCUGACCACCCCGCGAUCAAGGAUCCGGAUUCCGUCCACCGGAGCGGGUGGGACAAGGUCGCCGAGUACUACCUUGGCAAGCAGAACGUGCGCGUCGACGUCCAAAGGUUCGCGCCGACGCUCGCGCUCGCGCUCGACCAUCUCCGGCAACAGUAG